CACUGUGGAGCCAGACUGCCUUUCUGGAAUGGCAGUGUCAGUCAAUUAGCUCCUUUGAUUUUCAACGCAAUGUGCCAUUCCAUAAUGGCUGCUGUUACUACUGCUAGCUAGCAUGAGGACGAAAAGGUACGUUUUCUGGGAAUAACGGUAACAUUUGGAGUACAGUGGCAUAUCCCAUCCCUGCACUGAGGUACGUUUUCCGACCCAUAUCUCGCGCCGGCUCCACGGUGUCUAAUUAACGCAACCAGGAUUGCAUUCGGACACAGUGCAGAUCAAUGCAGAAAGUUGUCAAAAGUAAGAGAGAAUAUCUUUAAACAAUACACAUUUAUUUAUAAAGCAGCUGUCACAAAAUGCUUAUACAGAAACUGAGUCUAAAACACCAAACAGCAAGAAAUGCAGAUGUCGAAGCACGGUGGUUAGGAAAAACUCCCUAGAAAGGCAGGAACCUUGGAAGAAACCUAGAGACGAUCCAGGCUCUGAGGGGUGGCCAGUCCUCUUCUGGCUGUGCUGGGUAGAGACUAGAGUACAUGGCCAUUAAGGCCAGAUUGUACAGUUACAUUCUAGAUGAUUCUGUGCUUCCAAAUUUGUGGCAACAGUUUUCCUGUUUCAGCAUGACAAUGCCCCCUUGCACAAAGUGAGGUCCUUAAAGAACUGGCCUACAGAGCCCUGACCUCAACCUCAUCCAACACCUUUGGGAUGAAUUGGAAGGCUGACUGCGAGCCAGGCCUAAUCGCCCAACAUCAGUGCCGACCUCACUAAUGCUCUUGUGGCUGAAUGGAAGCAAGUACCUGCAGCAAUGUUCCAACAUCUAGUGGAAAGCCUUCCCAGAAGAGUGGAGGCUGUUAUAGCAGCAAAGGGGGGACCAACUCCAUAUUAAUGCCCAUGAUUUUGGAAUGAGAUGUUUGACGAGCAGGUGUCAACAUACUUUUGGUCAUGUAGUGUAGAUUAUUGCAGCAUAGAUCUUUGAAAGGCCCCAUUGUGCCAUACCAAUCAAUCAAUCAAUCAAUCAAAUGUAUUGAUAAAGACCUUUUUACAUCAGCAGAUGUCACAAUAUGCUAUACAGAAACCCAGCCUAAAACCCCAAACAGCAAGCAAUGCAGAUGUAGAAGCAUGCAGUUACUGUAAGUGAGCAUCUCAGUUGUGCUGUAUGAUCCUGAGAAUAGUUUGUUUUCAACAUUCCUAACAACCAUUCUGAUGAAUCAUGUCCACAAAAGGGGAAAACUAAGUUAGAAUAUGAAAUGUUUUAAGAACACUGUUACAUUAUAAUACCGCUAUGCUGAGAGAAAAAGGAGAACCAGGUAUCUAGCAAUAUAUUACAAUAUUUCUUGGUGAGGCAAAGAUGGCGAUAGUGAGCCACCUGAGACAAGCCUUGAUGAAGACAAUGUGAGCAAAACACUUGUAAGACUACAGGAAAUAUGGGUUAGACUGAUCUGUCAGAAUACAUGUAUGUAUCAUUCACCUCUAAAAUAAACCCUUUACUGGAGUCAGUUUGUUCCCAAGGACACUACCAAACAUCUAUGAAACUUACCAUACUUUAUGUGAUCCAAGACCUGUAUGGUGGGGAAAACUAUGAAGGGGAAAAGAGAUCACUGUUACAGCGUAAUAAACACACAAAUCACAUUAUAUAAACACUGGACAUAAAGGUGACAUAUGUCAACAGUCAAGUUUUGUUGAAAAAAUAUAUACAUUUUGCGAUUUUAUCCACAGAUAGGAUAGUAUUUGAGUUGGAUUAGAUAGAAGAGGGAUAUACUGUAGCAUGGACCGUAAAUUUGCAUAGGCGAGGAUUGAACCUCUGCCUUCAGGGCUAAGUGUAGACCAGGGGUGGCAUGAUCUUAAUCAGUUUCUAAAACUGAUGGGAUUGGGUGUGUAUACUUACUGCAGUCACGUUUUACCUCGU
RNAcentral lists this long non-coding RNA (1897 nucleotides) under Salmo salar (Atlantic salmon). Its description in RNAcentral is "lncRNA (ENSSSAG00000095479.1, ENSSSAG00000118451.1)". The record is from RNAcentral. Lineage: Eukaryota; Metazoa; Chordata; Actinopteri; Salmoniformes; Salmonidae.